Long non-coding RNA from Meriones unguiculatus (Mongolian gerbil), 2442 nucleotides. RefSeq lists it as uncharacterized. The record is from RefSeq and is a predicted model, not a curated record. The transcript has 4 exons. Lineage: Eukaryota; Metazoa; Chordata; Mammalia; Rodentia; Muridae.
CAGAUAGAUGCCUCUGGUCUGUCAGCGGCUUGGGGACGCGCCCGGCUGUGCGGCCACGGGUCAGCAAGUUGAGCAGGGAGGGACGGAAGGAGACCGUCCUGGCUGAGCAGAGGCCACCUGCCCUGAACACUGGUUUGCAGAGACGCCCAGGUUUUACAAGGUCCCUGAAGACCCGGUUCAGUUUGGUCUCUCGUCUUGAAUUGCCUCAGUUCUUUUCUCUGCCCUGCUCUGAAGAGCCCCGUUUCUGUCCCGGUACUAUCUGAGCACAAAACGGCAAGGCGUACCUCAGCCGUCCCUCGGUUACAGUCCUGUGAAUGGGUGGAUGAAUGAGUGUCUGCCUAGGAAUCUGAGUGUAAGUUCUCAGCUUUAACACUGAGAGACCUUGCUCUAGCUCCAGUCCAGUUCGGGGGACUCAUUUUCUGUGAAAUGGAACCAGUCUUUUCACGCUCCGUCUUCCAGUGUCCAUCCAGGGUGUCUUGGGACAGCCAAAUGAACGCGCAAGUUCAGAACGAGCCUUUUUCUGCGGCCAGAGAGCUUGCUCUCUGCCUUGGGCUGUAGGCCUUGCUAGCUGCCUAUCAGCUGAGUAGAGUCUGGCUCCCAGCCCCAGCGGGGGCUCAGAAGGGGUGCUGCUGCAGCGUUGUGCAGAGUGAGAAGGGUGGCCCCACAGAGCUGUGUGACUGAGCCUCUCUGCAGCCUCCCGGGCCUUUCACAUAGGAGACACAAAGGCGCCUUGUCUAACCUCUGCUGGCCGUGGGAGUUGGUGCAGGCAGCUUCCAGACCCAGAUGUCUCCAAAGCCACCCUUGCUUUAGGGUCCUAGUGUGAGGGAAGUCUUUCUGGUUAUUGAAACCCCCACUGAUUUCCUUUCCCUAAUCUCCCUUUUGAGCCACCGAGCCUUCUGAGGUUACUGCUGCUUGCUCCAGGACCCAGGAUUGGUCCUAACCUCUAGAAGACCCACAGGAUGGCCAGUGGCCAGUCUUGGACUUUGCACUUGCUGUGGUCCAAUUCCUCUACUUCCAGCCAAAGAAACUACAUUCCAGAGUGCAUUAAACACUCCUCACCUGCUGUUCUGACUAAAUUGUCUGGAUUUAGCUGACGAUCUACCCACCAUCCCGAGCUUCCUGGGUCUGAGGAGUGAGUAUCCCCUCUCAGAAAAGCCUGGGAGGCUAGGUUCCCUGAUGCUUUCCUCGACAAAUUAAUAGUCAGAUUUUAUAGCCCACCAAAUCCAGCAGAUUCCCCAUCCCCAGUGCUGUUCCCCACCCCACCCCACUCCAACUUGAGCACCUUUGCUUUCAUAUUUUUACUUACUCACAACUUGAGAUUUUGUGACUGAAAGGCUUGAAAACCUAUAUUGAUCCAGCCAGGAAAUGGAAGCCCAGUGAGUCACAGUAAGUAUCCUAUGAAGGGGAGAAUGGCACUGAGGGCAUCUCCCUGAACUUCGCAGCCAAAGCAGGCUAAUGGUAAGACCUAGGCCCCGUAAUGGUCCCCAUGUGCUGUAAUGAAGCCACAGGGGCAGCUGCAUUAGCAGCAGAAGCUCAGGAGGGGACGGCAAAGCCCCUGCUCUGGCCCCCCAGCCCACCUCACAUUAGAAGUCUUCCUGUCUCUCCAGCCGGAGCAAGCAUUUACCUCCUGGCAGGCAUCCUCAUCUUCCCUCUCUGACUUUUCUCAUCUCCCCAGAGAAAGCCUUCUGCCCUGAGGCUCUGUGGUGGGGGUGGGGAGCCCUGCCUGGCCUAGCCUCAACUCUCCAGCCCUCGUUACUGCUGGAAUGGUGCCUUUCUCUCUCUUCACUGACACUCCCUGCUUCACACUCUCUUGGGGGCUCCCUCUGCCAGCCCCGCUUCUCAGCCUCAACUCCAGGCCUUUCCCUCUCUGCUUCUCCUCUCCCUUCCAUUUAGCCAGGUAGGCUGCACCCUCCUUCACCUCCUGCCAGUGCUGGCCACUCCCUCUUCCCCCUGUGCUUCUCUGUGUUUGACCGCCUCCUCUUGACUCCCAACCAUUGAUUGAUCUUCUAAGACCUCCUCCAGAUGUUGCAGCUCUCAGCACACUGUGGCUAGCUCCCUCUCUGAGGGGAUGUCUUUGAAGUUGGGGCCCAGUUCAUCCUACACACAGCUGAAUGUCCAGCCACUGGCACUGUCCCCGUCAUGUGGCCAACCUCCAGAAGGACUCCCUAGCUCACCUCCUUUGUGCUAGCUACUGUGGGACUGAAACUGUACUUCUCAAGUUUCCCUGACCAGGACCAGGGCUUGAAAGGCAAAUGAAUCCUGGAAGCUCCGGCUGUUGGCGCUCCAGGCUGGCAGCCCUGAGAUACAGAAGGCCUGAUUCUCUGCCUUGGCAAAGGUCCCUUCCACCUCCCCUAAAGCAAGAUCAGCUACCAAAUUUGCAAGACUCUGUAUAAAAUGAAAAUGUGGACCCUUUGCUUAAAAAAAAAUCAUUAAGAAUUUCAA